Molecule: ribosomal RNA, 759 nt
Filed under: uncultured Enterobacteriaceae bacterium
Lineage: Bacteria; Pseudomonadati; Pseudomonadota; Gammaproteobacteria; Enterobacterales; Enterobacteriaceae
Description: bacterial SSU rRNA
Rfam family: Bacterial small subunit ribosomal RNA
Source: RNAcentral
AUUGAACGCUGGCGGCAGGCCUAACACAUGCAAGUCGAGCGGCAGCGGAAAGUAGCUUGCUACUUUGCCGGCGAGCGGCGGACGGGUGAGUAAUGUCUGGGAAACUGCCUGAUGGAGGGGGAUAACUACUGGAAACGGUAGCUAAUACCGCAUGACCUCGAAAGAGCAAAGUGGGGGAUCUUCGGACCUCACGCCAUCGGAUGUGCCCAGAUGGGAUUAGCUAGUAGGUGAGGUAAUGGCUCACCUAGGCGACGAUCCCUAGCUGGUCUGAGAGGAUGACCAGCCACACUGGAACUGAGACACGGUCCAGACUCCUACGGGAGGCAGCAGUGGGGAAUAUUGCACAAUGGGCGCAAGCCUGAUGCAGCCAUGCCGCGUGUGUGAAGAAGGCCUUAGGGUUGUAAAGCACUUUCAGCGAGGAGGAAGGCAUCAUACUUAAUACGUGUGGUGAUUGACGUUACUCGCAGAAGAAGCACCGGCUAACUCCGUGCCAGCAGCCGCGGUAAUACGGAGGGUGCAAGCGUUAAUCGGAAUUACUGGGCGUAAAGCGCACGCAGGCGGUUUGUUAAGUCAGAUGUGAAAUCCCCGCGCUUAACGUGGGAACUGCAUUUGAAACUGGCAAGCUAGAGUCUUGUAGAGGGGGGUAGAAUUCCAGGUGUAGCGGUGAAAUGCGUAGAGAUCUGGAAGAAUACCGGUGGCGAAGGCGGCCCCCUGGACAAAGACUGACGCUCAGGUGCGAAAGCGUGGGGAGCAAACAGG